UGAAUGUACGAAUCUGAUUUGUCAAGGCCAAUGAUACACUCCCACCGGUACGGCCCGUGUAUGGGAGGAAAGCUUUACUCAAAAUUACAAAGAUCAAUAGAAUGGAAUGACUCUAGUUAAAUUAUGGUUCGACAAAGGGGAAAUAAUCUUAAAUAACCAAUACAUGCACCACAACAUGACGAGAUAUACAUUAAACUAAGCCUAAGGAAAGCCAGCAGCUGAAAUUUUGGAAAAAGCUUUGACUUAUGCUCAGAGGGUGAAAUCCUAUGUUUCAGCUUUCAUGCAUUUAGCGCACUCUGAUUAAUCAAAAGAACAUGGAUAAAUGUUCAAGAGAAGGCCAAGGAACAUCUCGGGCUGUCAUACCAAUGAUGAUGACGAAUCAGAAAGCUUUAUGAAUUGAGCUAGAAAACCAAUUCAAUUGCUUUUAGUUUAACUUUGUUUUAUUGUAUUUAAUCCAAUCUUAUCUUGCAGCUGCAAAAUGGUCUAAAGCUUUUGUUAUUUGUUACAUUACAAAGAUCUGAAAUUAAAAUAGAUAGUGACCA
Molecule: non-coding RNA, 542 nt
Organism: Parasteatoda tepidariorum (common house spider)
Lineage: Eukaryota; Metazoa; Arthropoda; Arachnida; Araneae; Theridiidae
Source: RefSeq, a predicted model, not a curated record